GCGCCCUCUGAGUGCCCUUGUUUGCUUGUUGUCUAAUCUGCCCACAAAAUCACACAUCGAAUGUGCCUAGUGCCAGCUGGGCAAACAGAACAGGGGCAGAAAGCAAAGCUUUGUCAAUCUUAGCGGAUCUGUAUUUCUCGGUUGCUUCAGUGUCACAUCGGACAGCAUGACGUUGACUUCCAGGUUUGUCCUGAUGAAUAAGAUAGCGCUCCGCUGGCUGCAGAAGUGCCCGUGCUUGUUUGGAAGCUGGCUGAGUCACCGUGCGCUCUCUGGGAAGCCCGCGUUGAUGUUCCCAUGGUGCAGCUUUUGGCAAGCGAUAGAUGUGCACCUCGAAGUGAACUUCCUGGGCCUCCUUCAUCCGCACGGGGAGGACGAAGUCCAACUUCCGAUCGGUGGCGUUGCUGGGAGGCCGCGGUGAGUGUCUUUCCCUCCUGGCGCACUGCCCUCUGCCCACCGCCCACUGGGACGAGGG
This 472-nucleotide long non-coding RNA is filed under the name Chinchilla lanigera (long-tailed chinchilla). Its description in RNAcentral is "lncRNA (ENSCLAG00000026676.1)". Lineage: Eukaryota; Metazoa; Chordata; Mammalia; Rodentia; Chinchillidae. The record is from RNAcentral.